Molecule: long non-coding RNA, 519 nt
Filed under: Homo sapiens (human)
Lineage: Eukaryota; Metazoa; Chordata; Mammalia; Primates; Hominidae
Description: HSALNT0288533
Source: RNAcentral
GCGGCGGUGGCGGCUUCAACAGCAGCUCUUGCCCUUAAGGAACAAUCCACAGCAUGUUCCGAAGAGAUGAUUGGAAGAUGGAAGUGGAGGGUUAAAUAAUGAAAUGCAGCUAACAUUUCGGAAAGUUUCUAAAAGUUGUACAACAUGCCCUACAGCUACUCUUUAAAUCUCCAAAUCAAAUGAGUUUCAGGUGGAGCCUCUGGGAGGUGAUGAGGUCAUGAGAGUGGAGCCUCAUGAAUGGGAUGAGCACUCCUACAAAAAGGAUUCCAGAGAGCUCGCUUGCUCCUUCCACAGUGUGAGGACACAGAGGGAAGGCUCUGUCUAUGAAUGAGAAAGUGGGUCCCCACCAGACAUUGAAUCUGCCGCAUCUUGAUACUGGACUUCCAGUCUCCAGAACUGUGGGCAAUAAAUGUCUGUUGUUUAUUACCUGUCCAGUAUCUUUGGUAUUUUGCUAUAGCAACCCAAAUGGACUAAGAAAACACCAGAGGCCAUACCUAAUAAAAAUAUUGACAUCACAAU